AUGGUGGCCAUCACCAUCUGCCCGCCUAUUCUCAAGCAGAUCAACCGCACCCUCCGCGAGUUCCUGUGGUACGGCAGAAAGGAGACCCGCAGCGGCCACGGUCCCGUCAACUGGCAACGCGUCUGUCACCCUCUCGAGCUCGGCGGGCAGGGCAUUCAGGACCUCCACCGCCAGGGGAUCGCCCUGCGAUUCCAGUGGCUUUGGCUCCAGCGCACGGAUCCCUCCAAGCCUUGGGCGCAUCUCCAACUCCCGAGCGACCACGACGUCUCUGCCAUCUUCAGGGCUUCCACAUCCUGGGACGUUGGUGAUGGCCAAACAUGCCUCUUUUGGACCGACCACUGGCUCAACGGUCGCACCAUCUCGGAUCUAGCUCCGUCCCUGCUUCCUCUGGUUCCACGGCGCCUGCGCAAGCGCUCCGCCGCCGAUGCCCUUCAGGACCGUCGCUGGAUCGCUGAUCUACGCGGCGCUCUCAACCCCACCGCCUUGAUCGAUUACGUCCGCCUCUGGAGAUUGCUCCGGUUCACCACCCUCUCCUCCCGCCUGGACCGCCUCCUCUGGCGAUGGACUUCCAAUGCCAAAUACUCGUCCAGAUCCUACUAUCGCGCUCUCUACUCCGGAUCCACUCAUGCACCAUUCUGGCGCCUUACAUGGAGAUGUUGGGCUCCCCUCCGCAUCAAGAUUUUCACUUGGCUCUCUGACCUCGACCGCUGCUGGACGUAUGCUCGACUCGCUCGUCAUGGCCUGCCGCACAAGGAUCGUUGUACCCUGUGUGACCAGGCCGAGGAGACCAUGCAGCACAUCAUCAUUGGAUGCCCCUUCUCGUGGGCUGAGCCUUGUUUCUUUGUAGACACGAUGUUUUUCGUGGGCUGA
Molecule: ribosomal RNA, 870 nt
Filed under: Triticum aestivum (bread wheat)
Lineage: Eukaryota; Viridiplantae; Streptophyta; Magnoliopsida; Poales; Poaceae
Description: partial small subunit ribosomal RNA
Source: RNAcentral